RNAcentral lists this ribosomal RNA (490 nucleotides) under uncultured bacterium. RNAcentral describes it as "partial 16S ribosomal RNA". It matches the Rfam family "Bacterial small subunit ribosomal RNA", at positions 28 to 507 of the family's 1533-position model. The record is from RNAcentral.
GAUGAACGCUAGCUACAGGCUUAACACAUGCAAGUCGCGGGGCAGCAUGGGGGUUGCUUGCAAUCCCCGAUGGCGACCGGCGCACGGGUGAGGAACGCGUAUCCACCCUGCCCUUCACCACGGGAUAACCCGGCGAAAGUCGGACUAAUACCGUAUGUUGUCCAUUGACGGCAUCCGAUUUGGACGAAAGGCUUGGCGGUGAGGGAUCGGGAUGCGUCCGAUUAGCCAGACGGCGGGGUAACGGCCCACCGUGGCUACGGUCGGUAGGGGUUCUGAGAGGAAGGUCCCCCACACUGGAACUGAGACCCGGUCCAGACUCCUACGGGAGGCAGCAGUGAGGAAUACUGGUCAAGGGGCGUAAGCCUGAACCAGCCAAGUAGCGUGCAGGAUGACGGCGCUAUGGGUUGUAAACUGCUUUUAUGCGGGGAUAAAGUGGCGUACGUGUGGGCUUUUGCAGGUACCGCAUGAAUAAGGACCGGCUAAUUCCGUG